RNAcentral lists this long non-coding RNA (17583 nucleotides) under Fragaria vesca (wild strawberry). RNAcentral's name for it is "long non-coding RNA (FVES_LNC002764)". The record is from RNAcentral. Lineage: Eukaryota; Viridiplantae; Streptophyta; Magnoliopsida; Rosales; Rosaceae.
CCAGAUGCGAGCCUAUUAUAGGUUCACUGGUGCCACCCAUCACCUAUAAGCACAACAACACAAUGUUCAAUGACUUCAAUCCCUCAUUUACAAACAAAUGAAUUUGAAAUUGCAAAAUGAAUAGUCUGAAAUAAACAAUGGAGAACACUAGUGUUGUCCAGACCAGCCAUGGUGAAGAUUCUCCUGGCCAAACCAUCCUUUUGCUCCAAUAACGCUUGCAUCAAGUGCUCAGAUUCCACCACCUGUUGCUUCCUAACUCCGGCGGCCUCAACUGCCCUAAUUUUGCCCUCCCACGCCAUCUCAGUGAACUCCCCCGCCCCAAUCUCACACACUCCCGAUGUUAGUUUCACAAAUCAAUCUAAAAAACCGAUCAAAAUGAAUCAGAAAUUGAAGAUUCGGAGACCUGAGCGGUGCUGUUGGCGGAGUAGAGACAAGGAGCGGAGGAGUGAAAGCUCCGAUUGAAGGCGUUUGCCAAAAUCGGGAAGCGUUGGCGUCGUUGAAGCAUCGAGGCUGCGUCGGCGCUAAGGCUUCGCGGCGUCGUUGCGUCAUCGGCGUCGGCGUCGGCGCUAAGGCUUCUGCGGCGUCGUUGCGUCGUCCAGGAGAAAGAGAGAGAGAGAGAGAGAGGCGGCGUCGUUGCGUCGUAGUUGGUGCCCUGGCCGGAGGUGCCGGAGAUGCCGCCGUAGACGUUGACAUAGUUGUCGUGGUCUUGGAUGUGGCCGCAGGAGGAGCAGUAGAGACGACUGGAGGCGUGAGAGAGAGAGAGAGAGGAAUCCAUAUGGAUCGGGAAGAGAGAAGAAGAAAGAGAAUAAAAUUGUGUGGUUUAAUUAAACACAGGGUAAUAACGAUUUUUUCUCAAAAAUCAUUAGAAUGGGCACAAAAAUAAGACAUUAAUUAGAAUGAGUUUUAGUUUUCAAAUAUUUAGACAUUAGGACAUUUUCCCUUUUAUUUACUUUUCUGAAAACAAAAUUUAAAACACGGUCAAGCUGAGAAACUCAACCCUAUGUAUAUAUGCUAUUUAUCAUUCAAAAUAUGUACAAAUCCUGAGGACUUAAAUCUAGAAUUCCUAGAAGUAAUACAUCAUGAAAUAGAACAUCCUCAAUUAGUUUAGUGACUAAUAAUUGUAUGGAACAUAAGCUUCGAUUCGUUGGCCCCUCUUCACCUCUUGCCGCAUUUGCUGAAUAUUAUCUCAAAUGAAUACAUCACGAUCUUGACGGCCGACCACUGGGACCCUGAAUCUUCAUGUUCAGUUGCUUAGAAGUAAACCAAAAUUUUUAAUGCUUAUCAACCACAUGAUUCAGUAACAAAUCCAACCAAAAAAAUAAUGAAAGAAAGCCUUGGUCUUUCACCUUUGGUCUGUUUGCAAGAUAGAACCUACGAAGCUCAAGAAAAGAUAUAGUGAGGAGACUUUGCAGAGGAUGAAAUAAUCAAAAGCUACGACUCAAGUCACUAAAGAACAUUAGUGACCAGAUGGAUCUCUAUUAUUCCAUCCUCUACAAAGCCUCCUCACUUGAUUUUCAGCUUCUAAAUACUUUACUUCAAGGUGGUUAAACUAUUUGAUUAUAGGAUAUAUGGGAUCUUGCCUCUGCACAAAGUAUGGAAACUUACAGACUUAUGGUGAUCUAGCUCAAAGAACCAUCUUCAGCUACUUCUUUAUAACCAUAUCCUGCGGAUGAACACGAUUGUCAUGUCCAUCGAUCUUCACGUGCCUUGAUGUGGUACGUAUUCACAAGAAAAUUGAUGGUGUUCCGCUAUAUACCAAGGUACUGAGAAAAUGACCAGACUAUGAGCAGGCACGUUCAUUGAGUACUAUGGACUAGAAAUGUCAUGUCCUCUAACGAUUCAUACGUCUUUUCUGAGACCCUAUACGAAUAAACAGCAUAUUUGGAAGCUAGCUUAUCUCCUUUUCAACUUCAUGCGCGCAGCUAGCUCAGAAACAACUGAUAACUGCUAACAUGGUAGACAUGAUAGAAACUCUAACAAAUCUAUCUGCAGAAAGAUGAAAAUACAGAGAGAAGUGAAGAGAAACCUGUAGAGCAAUUCUCAGAGUUCUUCAAUUAUGAAAGCGUAGCUAAGAUUACAACUCAUACAGCUAUAUAGUUUUCUUAACAGAAAGAAUAAAACUUCUACUUAUUACAUCAUAAAAGAAGCUGAUAUUUUCCAAAGUCAAGUCAAUACUGCUCCAAGGAUGACAGCUAUACACCACUUACUGGAAGACUUAGCUGAAGCCUUAAUUAGGAUUAGUCCUAAUUAACACACCCCCUCAAUCUCAGCUUGGGUGAACAAAAUGAGAUUGACAGAAUGACCUUUGAACACAGGACUGUGUAAUCCCUUUGUUAAUAUAUCAGCAGUCUGAGCUUCUGUGGAAACAUAAUGAAGAGCUAAGUCACCUUUCUGAACACUUUCUCUAACAAAGUGAAAAUCAUUGUCCAAAUGCUUUAUCCUUGAGUGAAAGACAGGAUUUGAACAUAAGGCAAUAGCAGAAAGAUUAUCACAGUUCAAAAGAGGAGGAGCGGGAAUUGGAAUUUUUAGAUCACAAAAUAUAUGUCUCAACCAUGAAAUCUCAGCAGCAGUGUUUGCAAGAGCCCUAUAUUCUGCUUCUGUUGAACUUCUGGGCACAGAACCUUGUUUCUUUGAUUGCCAUGAUAUUGGACAAUGACCAACAUAAACAACAAAGCCUGUAGUAGACCUUCUCUGAUUAAUAUCACCAGCCCAAUCAGCAUCACAAUAAGCAGAAACAUAUGUGACACUCUCAGAAUACUUAUAAAACAAUCCCUUAUUCAAGGUAUGCUGAAGAUAUCUCAGAAUUCUUUUUACAGCAGCAAAGUGUGUGUCAGUUGGAGAUGACAUAAAUUGACAAACUGUAUUGACAGCAUAUGCAAUGUCUGGCCUUGUAAAAGUAAGAUACUGUAAAGCACCAACAACACUUCUAUAAAGUGUAGGAUCAGUAAGAAGAGUACCUUCAGACUUAAGAAGUUGAGUGUGAGGCAAACAGGGAGUAUUACAACCAGUACAAGUACUCAUACCUGCUCUACAGAUGAGAUCCUUUGCAUAUUUCUCUUGAGAUAGAAACAAUCCAGAAGAUAAGUACUUGAUAUUUAUGCCCAAAAAAUAUGACAAUGCCCCUAAAUCUUUCAUAUCAAAAACUGCACUUAAUUGUUCAACAACAGCAGAUAUACCUUCUGAAUCUGAGCUUGUCAUGACUAUAUCAUCAACAUACAGUAACAGAAUUAUCACACCCUUUGCUGAAUGUCUGAAGAAUAAACUUGGAUCUGAAUGAGAAAACUGGAAGCCAAGAGAUGGAAGAAAUGCAGUAAACUUUUCAUUCCAAGCUCUUGGAGUCUGUUUUAAACCAUAAAGAGACUUUCUUAGUAAACAGACAUAACUAGGCAACUUUGGAUCAACAAAACCUUGUGGCUGAUGCAUAUAUACUUCUUCCUUUAAAUCACCAUGAAGAAAAGCAUUCUUCACAUCCAAUUGUCUAAGAUUCCAUCUAUAUAUAGCUGCCAAAGCAAGAAUUAAUCUCACAGUACUAUGUCUAACCACAGGACUAAAGGUCUCUUCAUAGUCUAUCCCCUUCUCUUGACUAUAACCCUGUGCCACAAGCCUAGCUUUAUAUCUAGAUAUAGUUCCAUCUGGAUUUUUCUUCAACUUGUAAACCCACUUACUCCCAACAAUAUUCUUUCGAAAUGGAACUAACUCCCAAGUUCCUUGUUUCUUCAAAGCUUCAAUUUCUUCUGACAUUGCAUUUUCCCAUUCUGAUAUACCAAUAGCAGUCUUAAAUGACUUUGGCUCUAUAGGUUCAUGAAUAUCAAGCACUGAUGAAAAACCACUGAAGAAUGCAAGUUCAUCUAUCUCAUUUAGAUGAGCUAUACAUGAAUAAGCACAAAAAUCCUCAAAUGUUUUUUUCUUGACUAUUCCAUUCUUAGCUCUGGUCAACAUUGAGUGAUUAUUAUAAGACUGUGACUCAUCUUCAACAAAAGAUAAUUCAUAAGGAAGAGAAUACUGAACAAGAUUUAAGCUUUCACCAACAAAAUUCUCUGCACUACCAGAAUUUUCAGAAGUUUCAGAAAUAUUUCCACUACCAUUACUUCCACUAUCAUUACCACCACCAUUACCACCACUAUAAUCUCCACUACCAUUACUUCCACUAUCAUUACCACCACCAUUACCACCACUAUUACCCCCCGCAGCAGACUCAACUAAAGAAUCAGUUGAAGGCUGAGAAAAAGGAGUAACCAUAUGAACUUGGUCAGUAUAUAAGCCAGAAGGAGAAGGCAUGCCAAAAGUAGAAGACUUGGUGGAAGAACCCUAAGUAGACUUAACAAUAGGAGUCUGACUGAUAACAUGAUAGGGAAAAAUGGAUUCAUCAAAGACCACAUGUCUACACAUCCACAACUUAUUUUUCUCAAUGCUAUAACAAUAAACACCUUUAUAUCCAAGAGCAAAUCCUAAAAACACACAUCUUGUAGUUUUAGGAUCAAGCUUGUCACUGGCAUAUGGACGAAGAAAAGGAUAACAAGCAGAACCAAAUACUUUCAUAUUUGACAAAUCAGGAGCUGAACCAAACAACUUGGAGAAAGGAGAUUUCAUACCAAGAACUUGACAUGGCAUUCUAUUAAUAAGAUAUGCAGAAUGAGCUACUGCAUGAAACCAAAAAGGUUUUGGAAGUUUGGCUGCAAUCAUUAAAGUGAUGCAUGUCUCAACAAUAUGUCUAUUUUUUCUUUCGGCAAUCCCGUUCUGUUGAGGAGUAUAUGGACAGGUAAUAUAAUGCAAAAUACCUUGUUGCUCCAAAAAAUUCUUAAAAACUUUACUGGUAUACUCACCUCCCCCAUCAGAUUGAAGAAUCUGAAUCUGUAAAUGAAAUUGGGUGUGGACAAACUGAUGGAACUUAACAAAUGUGGAAAAGGUAUCUGAUUUAUUAACAGGAGGAAAAAGCCAUACAAACCUAGUACAAUCGUCUAUAAAAGUUACAUAGUAUUUGUAACCUUCAAGGGAAAGACUAGGAGAAGGACCCCAAACAUCGGAAUGAAUCUUAUGAAAGGGAACCAUGGACUGAGACUUGGAUUCAGUAAAUGGAAGUCUAUGCAUUUUACUAGAAAGACAUGAUACACAAACAGAACUAAAAGAAUCAGAUACACCUUUGAUAUUGGAAUCAGACAACAACUUGGAGACAACUAGAGCUGGUGCUUUUGACACUUUGUCCUGCACACAGAUGUUCAAAUCAUCCAUAACUAUAUAGCAAUGAUUAUCCCUGCAUAACUUGUUGAAAGAAAGCAGGUUCACUGCUAAGCUUGGAACAUGAAGCACAUUAUUAAGACAAAAAGUAUGUUUAUCAGGAGUAAGAGAAGAGGAUCCGAUGUGUUUUAUUUUCAGACCUUCAGCAUUUCCAAUAGUGAUUGAAUUUGAAGACUCAAAAGGUUGUGCAAGAGUAAGAUUCCUUAUAUCAGCUGUCAUACACUACAACAAUUCUCACCAAAGGCCACAUACAACAAAUGUGGUAAAUAUGGUCAAAAGCCACACAUGUUCGUGUCAAAACCCCAUUUUGCCACACUACAGCCACAUAUUUUAGGUAUGUGGUGUAUAGAGCCGUUGCAAUGAGAGAAACAGCCACAUUUAAAUUAGAAUGUGGGUGAUAAUGGAUUCUGACCAUUGUGGGCCCAGUAAUGUCAAUGGUGGGUAGAAAUCAUUAUUAUAAUUGUUUUUUCUUUUCCUUUUUUUAAUUGUUUCUGGUCCAUUUUCCAGUCUUUCUGGGGAUAUGGUUCAUAUCGAUCUGAAUGUGAUUUCAUCUCUCUGGGGAUGGAUGGGUUCAGUGAUGAUCUUUAGUUGAGUCAUUGUCAUAGUAUCUGCUAGUGUGACGAAUUUUGAGAUCGAUGAUAUGCAUAGACUCCCAUCAUUGAAACGCUAAGCAACAUUCAGAUAAGGUCGACAUUCUGAGGUUCUUUCAAUUUUACUUGGUGUGCAUCAUGACGACCAUCCUUGCAUACAUAGAACAAUGAGUGUGUUAACUCAGAGCAGAGACUUCUCAAGUUAUCAAAUCUGUCAAAAUCAUAUAGGUUCAGUUAACAUCGAAGCAAAAUGAAUAGAUAUAGCUAGCAAAGACAAAAAAAUUUACAACAUAACCCAAACCUGAUAUCAUACAGCGAAGAACAAUAGUUUGGUCCCAGAUCUAGGAGGCGGAGAAUACAUAGCUACCAUGAGUCCAUCACGUUGAAUCCACCCACUUCAUCCAUAACAACCAAAUCAAGAGAAAAGAUCGAAGAAACCCAUUUAAUUUCCAGCAUUUAAAUCCAUAAUUGAAAACGAAAAAAAUACCUUGUACCUAUAUUAAGUCAAGGAUUCAAGAAUGGCCGGCAACACUUCUUUCCUCAGAUCUGGUUUUCCAAACUUCACAGAGGCUAUCACCACCAGGUCAGUGACGCUCAAGCAACAUCAGAUAGUUGAGAUUGCCCUCUUUCCCCUUCAUGGAUGAUUCAUUGGAUGAUAAAUGGAUGGUUAGAGUGAGAUCAGAGCUUGAAGAUAAGAUAAAAGAAAGGAGAGAAGAGAGAGAAGAGAGAGAAGAGAUGAGAGAAGAAGAAACGAGUCGGACCAAUUUUUAUCAAACAUCAAUAUAAAAUCUUAAAAUAAAUACCCACUCAUGAAUAAAAAAGGUAAAAGUAUUUAUUGACAAGAAAAAAAAAAUUUAAUUGAAGCCUGGCCUUUUUAUGUACGUGGUUUUAGGAAUACAAUUUGAAUAACUAUAAAAUAUUAUAUUUGUAUACAGAAAAACAAUAAAUUAUUGCAUUGCCACACUUUGGUAUAAGAAAGUGUGGUUCGUGAGAGAAACAGACACCACCUGCCCCAGUCUCCACAUUUGCUCAUGUUUGUAGCAAUGUCAAAUGUGGCUGUUGCCCCUAGUUGUUGUGGUGGUUGCUCCUGUAUCACGAAUCCAGACAUCAUUGCAAGAAUAAUGAGGACCGCCUCCACAUGAUUGAGCAGUCAUUGCUGUGAGACUUGGCGGAGGAUGAGUACCCUGAAAAGCAUAGUUGCUUCUCUGACCACAGUUAAGAGCUACAUGACCCUUAAUCCCACAAAUUUGACAGGCAACUACUGCACUAUCUCCAGUAGAAGAAGAACCAACUCGAAGAGGAUAGUUGACAGCAGUGUGACCUCUUUGGCUACACAAUUGACACUCAGGAGAAACACCAUUCAUAUUUCUUGAGACACUAUACUGAGGAGUACCAUUUUCAUUUCUUGGGCCACCAUACUAAGGUCUAUAGAAAGGAGAAGCUGGAUUAUUGAAGCAUCUGCGAGCAAUAUGACCCUUUCUGUUACAGAAAGUACAAGUGGCAUUCUGAAAACACUCUGAAGCAACAUGAUCACUUCUAUUACAGAUUGGACAAGACAUAGCACCUCCCCCAAAAUUCUUAUACCCUCCACUGAAUUGAGAUGUGCCACUGUCUCCUCCAACAUUUUUAUAUCCUCCACCAUUACUGCCAUCACCAACAAAAUUCUUAUACCCUCCACUGCUAGACUCAUUGUGUCCUCCAUUCCAAGACACAUGUUUAUCAUUUUCUCCAUGCCAACUGCCCUUACCCUUGUCAUUGAAAUGACUAGAACUGCCCUUGUAAGACGUACCUCUAGCUGACAUUGCAGUCAUAGAACUAAGAGGAGAAGUUGAGAAGAGAGAUUCUAUAUCUCUCUCUGCAGCAAUAAGCUGAGCUCGAAAAUCUUUAAGAGAGAUAGGAGUAUCUCGAGCCCUGAUCACAGUCUUUAUCAUUGAAUACUCAUCAGGCAAGCCAUUCAGAGUUACAACAAUAAUAUCUUCAUCCACAAUUUGUACUCCCAUUGAACCUAGCUGAUCUCUAGCAUGCUUGAUUCGAAGAAGAUACUUGUCAAUUGUAUCAGCUCCUUUUUUAAUAGUCUGCAAAUCAGUCUUUAGUUGCAUGAUAUUAGCUCUAGAGUCUGUUGAAAACUGUUCCAACAAAGCACUCCAUGCCUCAUGAGCAGACCUGCUACCCACAAUUACAUCCAUUGUGUCAUCAUCAAAAGUAGCCAUCAGAAGGCCUAGCAAAGCCUUAUCACACAUUUUCCACUGCUUAUAAGCUGAAGUGACUUCAUUCGUGACAGUACCAUCUUCUGUGAGAGCAUAUCUAAGAGGACAAGGGUAAGUACCAUUGAAGUAGCAGAACAGAUCAUUUCCCUCCAAGACCGACUAAAACUGAUAACUCCAUUUAACAAAAUUUGUUUCACUGAGCUUCACUGUGAUCAUACUCAGCAAUGAAUUAAUCUCUGAUUGAGUAGCAAAAGGAGACUGACUAGUAGAUGUAGUCGAAGCCAUUACUCAAAUAUGAAGAAACAAGCACAGAGAUAACUCACAAACUCUAUUCAAUCAAACAACACCGAGUUCAACAACACCAAGUUCAUCAUUCAAACAAAUAGUCUUCAUAACAACUAUAGAAACUUCUGCAUAAAGACCUACUUUCCAGAAUCACAAUCUUUAGGAUCUAUUCCACCAACCUUCUACUCUUCACAAUCCACAAAACGUCUACUCUUUACUAAAACAACUACCUCCGCAGAAAUAAGAUCUACUCCACUGAAACAACUACCUCCCCAAGAAAAUACUCUACUGCAACAACUACUUCCACAGGAAAAUACUCUACUCCACUGAAAAACAACUACCUCCACAUAAAACAAGAUCUACUCCACUGAAAAACUUAUUACAGCGAUAUUUCACCAUUCUACCAACACAUAGCAACGAGUACAAGAAUUCAAAAACCAAAGCAUAAUCUGAAGGCGACUUGAUCAAAACAGGCAUCUCACUACAAAUCGAGUUAGAUUUAGAGCUACAGACUCCAACAAAUAGAUCGCACAGAGAUCUCAAGCAUCAAGAGCAAGAAUGGCUACAUAAACAUCAGCUAGAGCUUCGAUCGUACACAGUGGCGUAGCUAGAAACUCGAUUUAGAAGGGUCAAGACUUAAGUGACUAAUAAGUUAAGGAUUAAAUUCAGUUUGCCCUCUCGUGCUUUAGGUCAAUAAUCAGUUUGGUAUCAUAUUUUUUUUUAAUAACGUUGGUCCUUGUACUCUCAAAUGACAUCAUCUAAGUCCAAAAUUUGAAUUUUAAUGCAAAAAUGGGUGAGUUUGGUCCUUGAAAAAUGACUUUUUUUCAUCGUUAGAAUGUUUAUUUGUCCUAUUUGUAGGUUAAAAAACUCAAAUGUGGAUCUCUAUGUCAGUUUCAAGUCAGCAAAUAAUAUUAUUUUUGAAGCCAUAUUAAAAUUUUGGACUUAGUUGAUGAUGUUUGAGAGUACAAGGACCAACGUUAUUAAAAAAAAAGAUAUGGGACAAAACUAAUUAUUGACCUAAUACGAGGGGGCAAACUUAAUUUAAUCCUUAAAUUAAUUAAGACAAAAUAUCAAUACGUAGUCGUUUCAUAGAAAAUCUUUUAAUCGUUGGUUUAUACCUAACAUUAUAAAUUACCUCAUUAGAUUGAUUCAUGAGAGAAAUAUCGAUUAUGAAUUCCUUUUUCCUUUGUAUUUAUAGAAACUGUGAAGAAAUUUAUCAAACAUUACCAUUAGAAAUGAAAGUAAUGUCAUUUGUAGAAACUUAAUAGGAGGGUCAUUUCUAUUUUUCUAUACAGACCACUUAACUAAUUAACCAAAAAUUAUGUAUGAGAAAGGUCAACUGACCCUUCUCGCCCCCCUCUCCCUACGCCCAUGAUCGUACAUAAACAAAACAGAUCUAGGUUUUCGAGAUCAAAAACAAAAUUGAGCGGAAGCAAGAGCUAAAGCAAAUGAUAUCAAGCUCAAAACAAUCACAGAAUCAAGAGCCGAAGCUCUGAUACAAUGCUAACAUGGUAGACAUGAUAGAAACUCUAACAAAUCUAUCUGCUGAAAGAUGAAAAUACAGAGAGAAGUGAAGAGAAACCUGUAGAGCAAUUCUCAGAGUUCUUCAAUUAUGAAAGCGUAGCUAAGAUUACAACUCAUACAACUAUAUAUAGUUUUCUUAACAGAAAGAAUAAAACUUCUACUUAUUACAUCAUAAAAGAAGCUGAUAUUUUCCCAAGUCAAGUCAAUACUUCUCGAAGGAUGACAGCUGUACACCACUUACUGGAAGACUUAGCUGAAGCCUUAAUUAGGAUUAGUCCUAAUUAACAAGGAAUAAUGUCCAUUUGGUACUAAUUAUUGGGCUUUAUUGCCCAUUCUAAUAAAGACUUUUUCUCUAUGCCUAUUCUAAUAAUUCUUAAGAAAAAGACAAAUAUACCCUUAAUUAUCACACACACAUCUCUCUCGUUUCUUCCUCCUGAUCUGAAACAUUUUCUCUUUCUCUCCCUCUCUUCUCUCUCUCCCUCUCUCUCAUCCCUUCCGAUCAGAUCGUCAGAAAGCUUCUGGUCGACGAUCAUCGUCGAUGGGGGUGUCGCGGUUGGCAACCCGGUUGACGUGGCCAAGAUGAGGAUGCAGCGAAGCUCAUUCCGGCUUUGUUCCCCCGUUUCGGCUCCGCCAAUUUGGGAAUCGGACUCUGUUCCUGGCGUCGAGCUCCUCCGCCACAAUGUACUCGCAUUCUAGCUUCAUCGGAGACGAUCGGUCCUUCAUCUUCGUUGAAGAUGCCUUCGCAAACGAGAAGAUCGGCGGGGGUCAAGUCCAAGCAGCCGAGCUCCGACCUCCGAUCUUCAAAACCAGAGGCAUUGGCGAUGAGAGCCGAUCUCCGCCACGCACCACGGCAGCCUCCGAUCAUAGUUGGUUGUCCUCGCUUGGUCGCACGUCGUCAAUUUUCAAGAGACCGAUCGAGUUCUUCCGGGUAAUAAAGUUCUAUUGGAGUAAAAAAAAGUUCUACUGAGGGGUGAAAAGUUUAUUAUUAAAGUAAUAAAUGUAUUACUGGAGGUAAUACUGUUUUGUAAGUUUACUAGCCCCAGUAAAAUUUACUAGGGGUAGUAAAUUUUAUUUUUUGCAUCGAAGUUGAUUUUUCUCCGUUUUAAUGUGUACUUAUGGCCUUGGAGAUAUUAUUUUGCAAGCUUACUACCCCCAGUAUAAGUUUACUGGGGGUAAUAAACUUUAUUUUUUCGCAUCUAAGUUGUUCUUCCUCUGUUUUAGUGUGUAUUAUAGCAUUGAAAAUAUUUUUUUGCAAGUUUACUACCCCUAAUAAAAGUUUACUGGGGGUAGUAAAUUUAGUUUUUCAAAUCUAAAUUGUUCUUCCUCUGUUUUAGUGUGUAUUAUGGUCUUGAAAAUACUGUUUUGCAAGUUUACUACCCCCAGUAAAAGUUUACUAGGGGUAGUAAAUUUUAUUUUUUUCGCAUCUAAGUUGAUUUUUCUCCGUUUUAAUGUGUACUUAUAGCCUUGGAGAUAUUAUUUUGCAAGAUUACUACNNNNNNNNNNNNNNNNNNNNAAUGACACAAGACUAAGAACGCAUAAGAGCACAAACCUAAGAAUAAGAAAUUGAUAUUAUGCUACUAUCAAUCUAUCAUAGUCUAAACCUAAAGGAGUACGUAUGAACAGUUUUCAAGAGCACAUGAGCAAUCAAACCUUUAACAUUGUCUGUUGUCAAAAACUGGAAAAUCUGGAGUUUGUUAUGUCAAGAUUUGCUGACAGAUGGUUCGAAGGAUUCAAUUUGAGAUGUCCACUACUUGAGAGUUUGACAAUACAUUGUUGCAAGCCAUUGCAACGGACGCAGGUGGGGGCCAGUGCCACUGCCCCCACUCAACUUUUGAUGUCUGGGGUUUGAAGUCUUUUUUUUUAUAUAUUUUUUUUUUAAAAUUUGCUCUCCCCUGUACACUUUUGCUCUCCCUAACGUUCUGUAUCCCACUACUAUAUAUAUAUAUGGGAUCAGUAAUCACACCAAACAGGCCUAAAAUUGGAUGUUUAGAUAAGGAUUGAGCCCAAAAUUAAUUAGUAGAGUCCCACUUCGAACCCUAAAUUCUUGCAGAAUUGGGUGAUCAAUUUUCAUGUUUUUUUUUUCCUUAUCUGGGUUUUCAUUUUAAUGAAAGAUUAAUGAACGGUGAAUUUGGAAUCCCUUUAUUCUCUAUAAAAGGAACAAUGAGUCUCUUUAGAUGUGUUCAUAUUAGAUGUUUGAUGUGGAAAACCUGCAAUUUUAUAGUGUCUGAUUAGGAUUUCAUAUGAUUAGUGGAAAAAAAAACUUCAAUAUAUUCCAGAAUAGUAUAUUGAUUAACUAGCUGAAGAGCCACCAAAACGGAGAUCCGAGAGAAAGAGGAAAUGAACACUGAGCUGUUUCUAUAUGUUGUUUAGCCUCAAACUUUUUGCCCCCACUGACCUGACUUUUUGCGUCCGCCACUAAGCCAUUGGAAUAUAUCAAGGUGAUUAGUGAAAGCAUGCAUCGCUUCUUUUGGAUGAUGGAUGAAGUAUGGCUCCCUUUUCCCUGAAUGCUCCAAACCUAAUUAAAGGAAGCCAUCAUAGUACAAGAGUAUGCCUCGUACGUAUCAAAUUCCUAUCCACCACCAUUGCCUCAUAUUAGUGCUCCAGCAACUAAACGACUUGAGGACGAAACCUUGUUGUGGAUGGCGCCUUCAUUGAAGCCUUUGUCUAUCAAACACACGAGGUACCUAGUAGUGCCUUAAUCUGGGACUUUUAGGUAAAUUGUUCGAGCAUAGAAUUUUAUUGUUCAUAUGAACUUUUGUUUUUCAGAUUUUAAAUUCUGAUUUUUCCUUCAUUUUUAUAUUUUGUUUAGUUUGAUUUAUAAUAAAAUCAAUUAGGUAAUGCCACGUCACUUGCCACAUCAAUUAAUUAUAUGUUGAUAUCAUAUUUACAAUUGAUUUGGACUAUUGAAUGCUUUAAGAUCUAAUGGCCAGGAAAUAGUGUCAAAAUUUGUGUUAAAUUUGAUUUGAACCGGACCUUAUUCCUUAUAUAUUAAUAGUGCACUUUAGUUGGUGUACUAUUUCUAAAAUUUUCCCUUAACAUAAGCCAUCAGACUUUCUAAAGUGUGUGGUGAGAAUCUGGAAUCGUAUGUCAAAAUGAAAAGAGAAGAAAUAAUUCUCAAACACGAAGACUUUAUGUUAAAGGCAAGGAGAGAGGAAGGGCCAAAAAUAGCGGUGGUGGAUUUGAAGAAAGGGGGAGGUCUAAAUUCAAAGAAAAUGACAAAGAAAAGAAAGACGGUUGCUUCAUAUAUGGUAUUAUGGUAACAUGGUUUACCCAACCAUUGUAAAAGGAAUUGUAAAAUAUGGAAGGAGAAAAAAACGCAUAUGUUAGUGAAAGCUCUAAGUCAGUCAAUUUCGUUAUUAAAUAGUGAUGAUGGAGAACCUUUUGAAAUCUCAAUCAGCUCUAGCGCGCCCAAACAUUAGGCCUUGGAUACAACUUGCACAUUUCACAUGUGUGUGCACAGAUAAUUGCACAUUUCACUCAUUUUCUUUCUGCUACGACAUUACAUCUAACAGACGAAGGUGUCUCAAAUCACGUUCAUGUAGUAAUACAAACUUAUUGUCAAAAACAUAAAAUAGAGAAUGCAACUGUUUUACGUAAGGUGAUAGCCACGUGGUUGAAUUUGCUCAACAGUUGAAAAUGCAAUAUCAAUCUUUAAUUCUUGGCCUUACAACGAUCUCUAAUAUUUUAAAAGAGAUAUGACCGGAACACUUCAAUAGUUUCUUUUUCGAAAUAGCAAUGAUGAUCGCGCCUCAAGUUAUUCAUGCAACAUAUAUUGCAGUACACAACAAUGAUGUUGGUACGGUGAAAUUUGAACGUGUGGUUACACAACAAAGAACCAAGUAUAGCCUUUGUCGCAUAUUAUGGAAUUUCAUGGUCCUCUCAAGUUAACUUGAAGUGAUCUUGAAAUUCCAUCAGAGUGUCCAGAUGCUUCUCGUAAAAAAUUUCAUACAAAGGAGGUUAAUCUUACAGAGUAUCUUGCUCAAAUGUGGAAACUUGUAUUGUUGAUUUCAGGUGGUGGUAAAAUAACCCAACAAGAGAUUAUUAACUGAAAGAUAAAUGAGCAAGUGAAAAAUUUGAUUACAUGGCUGUAAAAGUUGCUUCCACAAAAAGAUGACAAAAAUUUCGUGAUCAGCAUGACGACUUCACAAUACAGAGCUAUGAGUGUGGAUUUAAAAGAGAAAGCAAUUAGAGCAUAUCCACCCUCUGGGUCUUCGUUGGGAAGGCCUGGGUCAUGGGCGAGACCUGGGUCGCCACGUGGCAGUGAUUUUGAGCUGCAGUUUUCACCCACGAUUUUUGUUUCUGGGUCGCCACGUGGCAGUGAUUGUUUAUUGAAUUUUAUAUUAGGUAUUAUUUUGAAUGUGAAUAAUGAUUUUAUAUAUUAAUAAAAUUAUGAUUAAAUAAACAAAAUGACAUAUUAAAAUUAAAUAUUUAUUUCAUGACUUAAAUUGACAUAUUAAGCCUAGAAAAAAAUAAAAUACAAUUAUUUAAAAAUAACACAAACAUAAUAUAAAACAAAUAAAAAAACCGCAAUCUAGAUAUCCAUGUUGCCUUGCACUUCCCAUAAAUGCUCGAUAAGAUCUUCUUGAAGGUUUAAGUGAUCGUACUGAUUCCUAAUUUCAUUGUACCACUCCAUGAAACCUUCAAAAGUAUGAGCAUCUCUACCAACUUCCUCAAAAUCUUGCCCGGUAGGUCCAUCCCAAACUUCAGCUAUCCUUGGCCUCGUAUUGUUGUCCUCUUCUUNNNNNNNNNNNNNNNNNNNNUAUAUAUAUAUAUAUAUAUAUAUAAUAAUUUAUCUUUGUUAACAAACUGGGUGUCUGGUUGAGUUGGUUUAGGGGACAUUUUUGUUUGAUGCGGCAAGCAGGUCAGUAGUUCGAGCGUAGGCCCCCUUGUCUGUUUUUUUAAUUUUUUUCCUUUUUUUUUUUUGCCCUUCUUCUAUUAGGUUUAGUCGUGAAAUUAAAAAAAAACCCUAUUCAAUUAUUGAUCACCUCAGUUUGAUUGCUGUUCCUCCGUCUCUCUACUCUCUGUUUCCUCUUAGUACUCAUACUUCUUAUCUUCAUCUUCAAAUUUCCCAACUCUAUCUCUUAAUUGGCUUUGUUUAUAUACUCAAACUCUCUUGUUCUAUUCCCUAAAGGUAUUCUUUUGAUUUCCUACAAUUUUAUACAUAAAUUGAAUAUACACAUAAUAAAUUUAACAACUUGUUCCUUGUAUUGGUUUGUAAAUUUAGAAGGGCCCCAAUUUUUUUCGCAUCGGGUCCUUCAAAACAUUGGACUGGCCCUGCUCCCUGUGCUUGCUCUUUUUAGUUUAUCUUGAUUUCCAUCGAUUUGUUCUUGAGGACACCCAAUUUGUCCUGUCUAUUGGUUUGAUAAGGAUGUAGAUCAGAGAUAUAAAAAUUAUGUUUUUUGGUAUUGCUUUAUGAAUGUUUGAUUGUGUUUUCUGUUUCCCUUGAUCUUGAGUUGAUUCAAAUUUUGUUCAUGUUGCAGUUUGUAAUGAACUAUAAUAGUGUAGUGGAAAAGGUUUUCAAUGUUGUUUUAUCAUCAAUUGCAUCUCUUUCUGCAGCAAUAUAGUCCAAAUAUAAAUGGCCUUAGCAACAAUUACAUUCCAUCUUGGGGUGAGUUUGAGAUUUUUACUGUUUGCUUCUCUUAUUCGUUGAUCUUUAUGUAGUCAUGAUGUUCUGGGUUCUAUUUGUUUCUUGAGAAAGCUGAGGAGAAUGGAGAAGAAAAAAGUUGAAAGCUUGAUUUAUUGUUGUUGAUUUCCAUUCGUGCUAUAAAUAUUUAGAAUAGCAAAACCUGUUUUCUGUUUGUGGAUUGAUAACAAUGAAGUUAUGUGUUUUCGCAGUGAUAGAUCUCAUGACAGAACCUGUGAUGAUGGUAUUUUCGUAUAUGUGUAGUGAUGUUUUCAUUAUUUAUUGAUUCUUUGAAUUCUCAGGAAACAAUAGUACAUGUGUAUUAUUUUGUUUUUAGAAAGCCAUUUUAGCAAAAAUGAGAGUAGAUAUCUAAAAAGGCUUAUAGUACUGUAUAAAUACAUAUUUAGAUUGGUAUGUUUUGGUAAAUCUGGGUGUUAAUCACUUACUACAAGGAAGAACAAAGUGAUAUAUGAUGCAUUACAUAUAGAAAUGAGCAUAAUGCAUCAAAUAGGAUUUCUUGACAGAUGAUAUAGGUGAACUAGACUGUCAGGAGUUUAUCAGGUCCCAAACUAGACCUCUUAGAGAGAUUUUCAUGACAAGUUGUAGGGUUGGGCAUGGGACGGGAUGAGACGGGAUUAGGGUCAUCCCACGGCCCGUCCCGGACAUUGCACACGGGACGGGAUCGGGGCAGGCCUUACAUUUUUAAGACUUGAUCCCACGCAAGUCCCGUCCCAAACGGGGCCGGGACGGGACGAGCCUAAUCCCACCAUCCCGUCCCAAUAUUACCUGAUAAUAAUAUAAAGAUUGCAUCAUAUGAAUCCAUAAUUCAUAACUAGAAUUCAACAAGUACUUAAGUUCACACAUCAUAAAGUUAAAAAAAAAAACAAAGAAUCUAGUGAAUCUGAAUAUCUGAGAGCACAACAAUACAGCUGCUACAACUACUUAAGUUCACAAUUGCUCCAAGCUGCUCCAAAUACAAACAAUUUCAACUCUAAUAAUCGAUGACAAUACCAGAGAAUGGACAUAGCAUAAUGAUAAGACGUAUUUGCACACGCAUCAAUUAACCCUGUCAACAAAUCAAUCGUAGUAUAAAGCAAGCAGGGAUCGUUCUAGACCGGGGAUCCAACUACAGGUAGAUCCAUCUAAUCUAAUAAAAAUGUACGAAAUAAGCAUAUNNNNNNNNNNNNNNNNNNNNGAGAGAGAGAGAGAAUAAUCUUGCCUGACGGAGGAAGCGGUGAGAAGGAGGCGCAGUGCUUGUUGCUGCUGCUUCGUUUGGAAGGAUUCACAAAAGUCGCACUGGUCCAAAGCGGAGGCUUGGGAAGAGGAAGCUGAGGAGGAAGCGGAGGCGAGGAGGAGGAAAGAGUGAAAGACUGAAAGACACAAAGAGCGAAAGAGUGAUAGACUGCAAGAGUGUUAGUAUUAGGGUUCAAAAAUGAAAAGCUGAGAUCAAAACAUCUAAAAAAAUCAAUGGCUGAUAUUACUCUAUAUUUUACACGGGACGGGACGGGCCUGACGGGCCUCAACUUUUCAGUCCAGCGUCCCAUCCCGUUGUUUUUCAACGGGAUGGGAUGGGACGGGCCUAGUGUUUUUAGACAUAGAUCCCGUCCCAUCCUGUCAAAUUUCGGGAUGGGACCGAGAUUUAGGUUUUUUAUGCCCACCCCUAACAAGUUGAAUUAGAAGGCAUGAUGGUACAAAAGGAGCACCCUUUUGUAAGUGCACACUUUAUGACCAUGGACAGGCUAGGAGCACCUUUUUGUGUAGGGAAUUGGGAGGUUAGGCUUCAAAGAUUGCUGGGUACACUCCUCAAGACAAGAUGGCCCUCAGGUACUCUUCAUGUUGUAUGGAAAUUUUCAGAUAAAUAAAAUAUGAAAUGUAUGUAUGUUCAGUGAUCUACAUGUAUGCAUGAAAUUCCUUAUAUAGCAUAACAGAACCUUAUGUUACAAAGAAUUAUCAUUUUUUUUAUAUUCAGGUUAUAGUCAACUCUAAAUAAUGUAUUUGUUACCGACAAGAAAAUAGCACUAGCAAUAUGUACAGCUAACACUGAGCCUUCAUUUAGAAUGGUUUUGGAGUUGUAAAGCUGAUCGAGUGUUGCUAUGGUAAGCUCUCUAUUUAUAACCUG